Molecule: ribosomal RNA, 253 nt
Filed under: uncultured bacterium
Lineage: Bacteria
Description: partial 16S ribosomal RNA
Rfam family: Bacterial small subunit ribosomal RNA
Source: RNAcentral
UACGGAGGGUGCAAGCGUUAUCCGGAUUCACUGGGUUUAAAGGGUGCGUAGGUGGGUUGGUAAGUCAGUGGUGAAAUCUCCGAGCUUAACUUGGAAACUGCCAUUGAUACUAUCAGUCUUGAAUAUUGUGGAGGUCAGCGGAAUAUGUCAUGUAGCGGUGAAAUGCUUAGAUAUGACAUAGAACACCAAUUGCGAAGGCAGCUGGCUACGCAUAUAUUGACACUGAGGCACGAAAGCGUGGGUAGCAAACAGG